Diabrotica virgifera virgifera (western corn rootworm) is the source of this 1310-nucleotide long non-coding RNA. RefSeq lists it as uncharacterized. The record is from RefSeq and is a predicted model, not a curated record. Lineage: Eukaryota; Metazoa; Arthropoda; Insecta; Coleoptera; Chrysomelidae. The transcript is spliced from 2 exons.
CAUUCGUAAAAAUAUACUAAUCUGUAAUUUCAUACACUAUGAUUGAAAAGUCAGAGUCAUAUGUACAUGUUUGGCGAACUCAUAGACAGAAGUUAACCAUAUUGACAGAUGAUUACUUAAAAAUUUAAAUUAAAUAAAUACUUACCAAACCAAAAAUACAACAUCCCUAACAACACACAACAUUCCAGGAAUGUACUACCAAAGUUCUAUCAAUAUUUGAAUGUCCUGGACAUUUAGGGAACAUUCGGUGAACAUCUGUUUAAAUUAUUCCUGGAAUGUUACCAUAAGACAUUCUGUGAACAUACUACCAAUGUUCCUAUAUUUUAAGUUGCGAAAUAAUACAUACGUGUAAGAGAUACAACAUUACUUAUAACAUACCAGACAAACUAAGUGACAUUUUAGGCCUACAGUGCAAUAAUAUGUCAAAUUUAAAGAGUUUCCCAAGUUCAAUUAAUACAAUAAUAGGUCUGUUCCUUUGUUUUUUAGUGUUACACUUUUGAGUGUAAGUGUACGAAAUUCUAUGGACAUUUGAGUGUAAAAUGACAGCGGAUGUGACAGCGGCUCAUGACAGCGGACAGUAUUAAACGAAAAUUAUCGGUGUGCCAAUCAAGCAAAGGGACAAGGAACUUCCGAAUAUGGCCUAACUGGGGGCACAUAACAUAACAUAACCUAAUCCUAAUAUUUACAUUUGUAAAGAAUACUUAUCCUGUUUGUUUUUAUUGUCGAUUGUGCAGCGAAAUUGUGUGCAGCAAAUCAAAUAUAAAGUAGUUUAUCGCCUACAGAACUGAAUUAGUCCAUAGCAGUUAUCAGUUUUUCUUUCUUGGGAAGCUUAUACAUGUAACUUGUAUUGUUGUAAAUUGUGGGAGUAGGGCAGACAGGGAAAAGUCUUAUUUUGUACUGUUCCCAAGGCUCCCCAUGCAAUACAUUUAAAUGAAUUAUCCAAACAAAGCCGGGGACAAUGGAUAAAAGCCACAAGAAGAACAGAUAUAAGGGAACUAAAAUUAAAAUAUGAAAAGUAAACAUUUUAUAAGUGGAACAACCACCAGAUAUUUAAAAGGUAUAAAAAGAAGAAACUGCUGGAAUUUCAAAACAAAUGUGUUUGACUAGUAAAGAUUUGGAUAAAUAACAGGAGUUAUUUCAUGUUAAUUCUUAUUAAUUAUACACUUAAAUAUGUUUUUAGUCUCAGGAAGAUUUUAUAUUUGAUUAUUUUUGAAUAAACAUUAUUAUUAUUAUUACCUUAAUUUCCAUUAAAUAAAUUAACUGUAAUCAAUAAAGUAAUCGUUUAAUUGUUAAUAAAUUAUCAAGUAUGA